This is a long non-coding RNA of Malus domestica (apple), 983 nucleotides long. RefSeq lists it as uncharacterized. Lineage: Eukaryota; Viridiplantae; Streptophyta; Magnoliopsida; Rosales; Rosaceae. The record is from RefSeq and is a predicted model, not a curated record.
GAGAAAAUCAGUCGAAAAAACUCAUUUGUUUCUAUUCGCUGAUCUCAGAAGGGGUAUCCCCUACAUUCGCCAUUCUUGAGUUCUCUCGAUGGUGUCUUCUCUACCCUGCCGUCUGCAAUUUGCUCCACCGUGACAAUAGCUUUUGUGCUUUCUUCCACCCCGUAGAACGCGCUCAAUUUAGAUUUUCUAGGUCUUGCGAUUUUGUGAUAAUCUUCCAUGGUAAUUAACUUUUGUUUGUUUUGGUUGGUCUGAAUUUCAAAUUUUUUGUUUUGGCUUGCGGCACAUGAUAUGAGAUUCAAAUGACAUGAUUUGUGUGUGUUAAUACUUUUAUGCGGGUAUUUCUUAUGUUUUGGGUGAGCCUCUCAACCUCACAGUUUUAGCCUUAUUCGAAUUGUGUCCAUGGAUCAGAUUAAUAUGCACUAUUAAUUUUUUUUUAAAGUUUUUUAUCCCUCCUUAUCCCUUCUCUCUUCUUCCCCUUGCUAUUCUCCAAUGACUCAGGAGAGUCCUAACAACAACAUUCGAGCUUUGCAUGCUCGAAUCUACCCCUCGAUCGAAGAGUUCAAUAAGCCCAACUUGCAGGUGGGUUUUUCCGACGAAGAUGCGAGUUUUUUUUCCGGCCAAUUUCAAGCAUUUCCAACCUUUUUUGGGUCUGGCGAAGAUGCUUAUUUUGCAGAUGAUGAAUCUAGAACACAUGAAAAAUCUAUCAUACCACAGUGCAUAUAGCAAAGUCGUCUUUUCACUAUGCAGCCACUAGCAACUGGUUACAGAGCUUCCUAACCUUGAGCCUUUACAUGAAUUUAGUUAUGAACAUUCUGUCAACCUGGAGGAUCUUAUAAAACUCAGUGAUGUGAUGGUUGAGCACUCUCUUGGUUCCAAUGGAGGUUAGUGUUCUUAUUGAAUCUAUAAAAGUUCAAUACUUGGGUAAAGUAAAGAGUGGAAAUUGUUUGGUUUGGGAAUGAAGAAGGAAAACGAUGGAAAGAUAA